This 1182-nucleotide long non-coding RNA is filed under the name Canis lupus dingo (dingo). RNAcentral describes it as "lncRNA (ENSCAFG00020005419.1)". The record is from RNAcentral. Lineage: Eukaryota; Metazoa; Chordata; Mammalia; Carnivora; Canidae.
AUGGGCUCUCCCCGCCCCCGUGAGUCCCCUUCGCAGCCCCUCGAGGGGCCCUUGAUGGCGCGCGGCCUCGGGGCGCCUCUCCGUGGCGGUGCGCACGGCCCGGGGGGGGCAGCGCCCCGGGAGCCCCCCGGAUACCCCCGCCCGCCCCGCGGGGCCCAAGCGCCUCCGUCUGGCGUCGGCGGCUCGGCGCGCGGGGUCCCGGCGGGAGGAGAGGUCGCGCGGAGCCGCCGGGGAGCGGCCGUCGGGGCCCCGGGGUCCGCAGGUGCGCGCGGGGCAGCGGGAGGACAGAGCGCGACACAGCGCGACACAGCGUGCCCGGGCCGCACGGGACGCGCGCGGAGGCGGCGGAGGGGGGCCGGGGGCGGCGGGGGCGGCGGGGCGGCGGGGCGCACCGCGGGGCGCGGACGGCAGGAGCCCGGCCGGGACCUCUCGUCACCCCCGCCCCCCCCGCGGCGCGGCCUAGAGCGGCGGCCUCGCGCCCAGCGCCGCCCGGGACGCGCCCCCGCCGCCGCCGCCGCCGCCCCCUCCCCGCCCGGACGGACGGGCGCACGGACGCCGCCUCGGGCGCCACUUACCCGGCCCGCCCGGCCGACUCUCCCCAUGGGCCGCGGCGCCGCGGAGACGGAAGCCCGCGACCGCAGCACCCGGGCCGGCGCCAACCCUUACGCCGAGGCCGCAGCGCGCGCGGCGGCGCGGGGUCAGGGGGCGUGCGGCCGCGAGAGGGGCGCGCCUGCGCCUGCGCCGCGAGCCGCCUGGGCGCCGCGCCCCCUGCCGGCGGGAGGACCGCGCCGCGCCGCCGCCGCCGCCCCCCCCCUCCGCCGCCGGCGUCCUCCCCUCCCGCCGACAGGGGUCGCCGUGGCGCGGCUCCUGAGCUCUCAGACUCGUGGGCGAGGCUGGCAGCGCCCCCACGCGGCGAGGAGGACAAACGGCCUGGGAGCCCGCGGAGUCCCCUUGGUGCGGAGCCCAGGUAGGCAGGUGCACGGACAGGCUGCUGCAAAGCCACUGCACCGACGUCGGUGGCUGAACGAGGGGUCACACAACACAACGCAAGUGGCAUUAAAGCCUCACGAUUUAUUUAUGUAUGUAUUUAUUUAUUUAUUUAAUAUUUUUUUGCCAGGCCUGCUAUUUAUUGAAGGAAAGAUAAAUAAAGCACACAGAUCAUUAUGUGACAUUAAAAGAUGA